Molecule: ribosomal RNA, 492 nt
Filed under: uncultured bacterium
Lineage: Bacteria
Description: partial 16S ribosomal RNA
Rfam family: Bacterial small subunit ribosomal RNA
Source: RNAcentral
AGUGAACGCUGGCGGUAGGCCUAACACAUGCAAGUCGAACGGCAGCACAGUAAGAGCUUGCUCUUACGGGUGGCGAGUGGCGGACGGGUGAGGAAUACAUCGGAAUCUACUUUUUCGUGGGGGAUAACGUAGGGAAACUUACGCUCAUACCGCAUACGACCUACGGGUGAAAGCAGGGGAUCUUCGGACCUUGCGCGAUUGAAUGAGCCGAUGUCGGAUUAGCUAGUUGGCGGGGUAAAGGCCCACCAAGGCGACGAUCCGUAGCUGGUCUGAGAGGAUGAUCAGCCACACUGGAACUGAGACACGGUCCAGACUACUAAGGGAGGCAGCAGUGGGGAAUAUUGGACAAUGGGCGCAAGUCUGAUCCAGCCAUACCGCGUGGGUGAAGAAGGCCUUCGGGUUGUAAAGCCCUUUUGUUGGGAAAGAAAAGCAGCAGGUUAAUACCCCGCUGUUCUGACGGUACCCAAAGAAUAAGCACCGGCUAACUUCGUG